This 1039-nucleotide ribosomal RNA is filed under the name Pseudomonas sp. RNAcentral's name for it is "bacterial SSU rRNA". It matches the Rfam family "Bacterial small subunit ribosomal RNA", at positions 66 to 1103 of the family's 1533-position model. Lineage: Bacteria; Pseudomonadati; Pseudomonadota; Gammaproteobacteria; Pseudomonadales; Pseudomonadaceae. The record is from RNAcentral.
AACGAUUGGGAGCUUUGCUCCCUCGAUUCAGGCUGGCGGACGGGUGGAGUAAUGCCUAUGGAGAUCUGCCUGGUAGUGGGGGACAACGUUUCGAAAGGAACGCUAGUACCGCAUACGUCCUACGGGAGAAAGCAGGGGACCUUCGGGCCUUGCGCUAUCAGAUGAGCCUAGGUCGGAUUACCUAGUAGGUGAGGUAAUGGCUCACCUAAGCGACGACCCGUAACUGGUCUGAGAGGAUGAUCAUUCACACUGGAACUGAGACACGGUCCAAACUCCUACGGGAGGCACCAGUGGGGAAUAUUGGACAAUGGGCGAAAGCCUGAUCCAGCCAUGCCGCGUGUGUGAAGAAGGUCUUCAGAUUGUAAAGCCCUUUACUUAGGAAUGAGUAGCAGUAAGUUAAUACCUUGCUGUUUUGACAUUACCAACAUAGUAAGCACCGGCUAAAUUCGUGCCGGCAACCGCGGUAAUACGAGGGGUGCAAGCGUUAAUCGGAAUUACUGGGCCUAAACCCCGCGUAGGUGGUUCAGCCAGUUGGAGGUGAAAUCCCCGGGCUCAACCUGGGAACUGCCUCCAAAACUGCUGAGCUAAAAUAUGGUAAAGGGUACUGGAAUUUCCUGUGUAGCGGUGAAAUGCGUAGAUAUAUGAAGGACCACCAUUGGCGAAGGCAACUACCUGGACUGAUACUGACACUGAGGUGCGAAACCGUGGGGAGCAAACGGGAUUAGAUACCCUGGUAGUCCACGCCGUAAACGAUGUCUACUAGCCGUUGGGAUCCUUGAGAUCUUAGUGGCGCAGCUAACACAUUAUGUCGACCGCCUGGGGAGUACGGCCGCGAGGUUGAAACUCACAUGAGUUGACGGGGGCCCGCACAAGCGGUGGACCAUGUGGUUUAACUCUAAGCAACUCGAAGACCUUACCUGACCUUGACAUGCUGAGAACUUUCCUAACAUGGAUUGGUGCCUUCAGGAACUCGAACACGGUGCUGCAUGGCUGUCCUCACCUCUUUUUUUGAAAUUUGGGUUUAGUCCCCUUACAAACC